GACGAACGCUGGCGGCGUGCUUAACACAUGCAAGUCGAACGCUGAAGCUCAGCUUUUGUUGGGUGGAUGAGUGGCGAACGGGUGAGUAACAGGUGAGUAACCUGCCCCCUUCUUUGGGAUAACGCCCGGAAACGGGUGCUAAUACUGGAUAUUCACUGGUCUUCGCAUGGGGGUUGGUGGAAAGGGUUUUUCUGGUGGGGGAUGGGCUCGCGGCCUAUCAGCUUGUUGGUGGGGUGAUGGCCUACCAAGGCUUUGACGGGUAGCCGGCCUGAGAGGGUGACCGGUCACAUUGGGACUGAGAUACGGCCCAGACUCCUACGGGAGGCAGCAGUGGGGAAUAUUGCACAAUGGGCGCAAGCCUGAUGCAGCGACGCCGCGUGAGGGAUGGAGGCCUUCGGGUUGUGAACCUCUUUCGCUCAUGGUCAAGCCGCAACAAUGGUUGUGGUGAGGGUAGUGGGUAAAGAAGCGCCGGCUAACUACGUG
This 483-nucleotide ribosomal RNA is filed under the name uncultured bacterium. RNAcentral describes it as "partial 16S ribosomal RNA". It matches the Rfam family "Bacterial small subunit ribosomal RNA", at positions 28 to 507 of the family's 1533-position model. The record is from RNAcentral.